Callithrix jacchus (white-tufted-ear marmoset) is the source of this 149-nucleotide unclassified non-coding RNA. It matches the Rfam family "Metazoan signal recognition particle RNA". Rfam says of the family: The signal recognition particle (SRP) is a universally conserved ribonucleoprotein. Lineage: Eukaryota; Metazoa; Chordata; Mammalia; Primates; Cebidae. The record is from Ensembl.
GCUGGGCACGGUGGCGCGUGCCUGUAAUCCCAGCUACUCGGGAGGCUGAGGCAGGAGAAUUGCUUGAACCCAGGAGGCGGAGGUUGCAGUGAGCUGAGAUUGGGCCAUUGCACUCCAGCCUGGGUAACAAGAGCGAAACUCUGUCUCAA